GUGGGGAAUAUUGGACAAUGGGCGAAAGCCUGAUCCAGCCAUGCCGCGUGUGUGAAGAAGGUCUUCGGAUUGUAAAGCACUUUAAGUUGGGAGGAAGGGCAGUAAGUUAAUACCUUGCUGUUUUGACGUUACCGACAGAAUAAGCACCGGCUAACUUCGUGCCAGCAGCCGCGGUAAUACGAAGGGUGCAAGCGUUAAUCGGAAUUACUGGGCGUAAAGCGCGCGUAGGUGGUUUUGUAAGUUGGAGGUGAAAUCCCCGGGCUCAACCUGGGAACUGCCUCCAAAACUGCAUGAUUAGAGUACGGUAGAGGGUAGUGGAAUUUCCUGUGUAGCGGUGAAAUGCAUAGAUAUAGGAAGGAACACCAGUGGCGAUGGCGACUACCUGGACUGAUACUGACACUGAGGUGCGAAAGCGUGGGGAGCAAACAGGAUUAGAAACCCCAGUAGUCC
This 450-nucleotide ribosomal RNA is filed under the name uncultured bacterium. RNAcentral describes it as "partial 16S ribosomal RNA". It matches the Rfam family "Bacterial small subunit ribosomal RNA", at positions 354 to 796 of the family's 1533-position model. The record is from RNAcentral.